Molecule: ribosomal RNA, 447 nt
Filed under: uncultured bacterium
Lineage: Bacteria
Description: SSU rRNA
Rfam family: Bacterial small subunit ribosomal RNA
Source: RNAcentral
AGAGCGAACGCUGGCGGCAGGCCUAACACAUGCAAGUCGAGCGCCCGUAGCAAUACGGGAGCGGCAGACGGGAUAGUAACACGUGGGAACGCGCCCUUCGGUUCGGAAUAACUCAGGGAAACUUGAGCUAAUACCGAAUACGCCCUUACGGGGAAAGAUUUAUUGCCGAAGGAACGGCCCGCGUCCGAUUAGCUAGUUGGUGAGGUAAUGGCUCACCAAGGCUACGAUCGGUAGCUGGUCUGAGAGGAUGACCAGCAUCACUGGGACUGAGACACGGCCCAGACUCCUACGGGAGGCAGCAGUGGGGAAUAUUGGACAAUGGGCGCAAGCCUGAUCCAGCCAUGCCGCGUGGAUGAUGAAGGCCUUAGGGUUGUAAAGUCCUUUUAACGGGGAAGAUAAUGACGGUACCGUAGAAUAAGCCCCGGCUAACUUCGCGCCAGCAGCCGC